This 440-nucleotide ribosomal RNA is filed under the name uncultured bacterium. Its description in RNAcentral is "partial 16S ribosomal RNA". It matches the Rfam family "Bacterial small subunit ribosomal RNA", at positions 338 to 795 of the family's 1533-position model. The record is from RNAcentral.
GCUACGGGUGGCAGCAGUGGGGAAUAUUGCACAAUGGGGGAAACCCUGAUGCAGCGACGCCGCGUGAGUGAAGAAGUAUCUCGGUACGUAAAGCUCUAUCAGCAGGGAAGAAAAUGACGGUACCUGACUAAGAAGCCCCGGCUAACUACGUGCCAGUCGCCGCGGGAAUACGUAGGGGGCAAGCGUGAUCCGGAAUUACUGGGGGUAAAGGGAGCGUAGGCGGCAAUGCAAGUCCGGAGUGGAAUGCGGCAGCUCAACUGCCGGACUGCUGUGGAAACUGGAUGGCUUGAGUGCAGGAGAGGUAAGCGGAAUUCCUGGUGUAGCGGUGAAAUGCUUAGAUAUCAGGCGGAACACCAGUGGCGAAGGCGGCUUACUGGACUGUAAAUGACGCUGAGGCUCGAAAGCGUGGGGAGCAAACAGGAUUAGAUACCCCAGUAGUC